RNAcentral lists this transfer RNA (73 nucleotides) under Megalops atlanticus (tarpon). It matches the Rfam family "tRNA". Rfam says of the family: Transfer RNA (tRNA) molecules are approximately 80 nucleotides in length. Their secondary structure includes four short double-helical elements and three loops (D, anti-codon, and T loops). Further hydrogen bonds mediate the characteristic L-shaped molecular structure. tRNAs have two regions of fundamental functional importance: the anti-codon, which is responsible for specific mRNA codon recognition, and the 3' end, to which the tRNAs corresponding amino acid is attached (by aminoacyl-tRNA synthetases). tRNAs cope with the degeneracy of the genetic code in two manners: having more than one tRNA (with a specific anti-codon) for a particular amino acid; and 'wobble' base-pairing, i.e. permitting non-standard base-pairing at the 3rd anti-codon position. The record is from Rfam by way of RNAcentral. Lineage: Eukaryota; Metazoa; Chordata; Actinopteri; Elopiformes; Megalopidae.
AGGGAAUUAGCUCAAAUGGUAGAGCGCUCGCUUAGCAUGCGAGAAGUACCGGGAUUGAUACCAGCAUUCUCCA